Molecule: ribosomal RNA, 404 nt
Filed under: uncultured bacterium
Lineage: Bacteria
Description: bacterial SSU rRNA
Rfam family: Bacterial small subunit ribosomal RNA
Source: RNAcentral
UAGGGAAUAUUGCACAAUGGGCGGAAGCCUGAUGCAGCAACGCCGCGUGCGCGAAGAAGGCCUUCGGGUUGUAAAGCGCUUUUCUGGGAGGUGAGGAAGGACAGUAUCCCAGGAAUAAGGCUCGGCUAACUACGUGCCAGCAGCCGCGGUAAAACGUAGGAGCCAAGCGUUAUCCGAAUUCACUGGGCGUAAAGCGCGUGCAGGCGGCCUGAUAAGUUGGAUGUGAAAUCUCCUGGCUCAACUGGGAGAGGCCGUUCAAUACUGUUGGGCUCGAGGGCGACAGAGGGAGGUGGAAUUCCGGGUGUAGUGGUGAAAUGCGUAGAUAUCCGGAGGAACACCAGAGGCGAAGGCGACCUCCUGGGUCGUACCUGACGCUCAGACGCGAAAGCUAGGGGAGCGAAUGG